AGAGUUUGAUCCUGGCUCAGAACGAACGCUGGCGGCAUGCCUAACACAUGCAAGUCGAACGCUUGUCCGGCUUUGGCCGGGCGGGAGUGGCGCACGGGUGAGUAGCGCGUGGGAACCUGCCCUGUUGUGGGGGAUAACCGAGGGAAACUUCGGCUAAUACCGCAUGCGCCCGGGCAACCGGGGAAAGAUUUAUCGCAGCAGGAGGGGCCCGCGUCGGAUUAGCUAGUUGGUGGGGUAACGGCCUACCAAGGCAGCGAUCCGUAGCUGGUCUGAGAGGAUGAUCAGCCACACUGGGACUGAGACACGGCCCAGACUCCUACGGGAGGCAGCAGUGGGGAAUAUUGGACAAUGGGCGCAAGCCUGAUCCAGCAAUGCCGCGUGAGUGAUGAAGGCCUUAGGGUUGUAAAGCUCUUUCGCCCGCGACGAUGAUGACGGUAGCGGGAGAAGAAGCCCCGGCUAACUUCGUGCCAGCAGCCGCGGUAAUACGAAGGGGGCGAGCGUUGUUCGGAUUUACUGGGCGUAAAGGGCGCGUAGGCGGCGCCGCAAGUCGAGUGUGAAAGCCCCGGGCUCAACCUGGGAAUUGCGCUCGAGACUGUGGUGCUGGAGUUCGGGAGAGGAGCGUGGAAUUCCCAGUGUAGAGGUGAAAUUCGUAGAUAUUGGGAAGAACACCGGUGGCGAAGGCGGCGCUCUGGACCGAGACUGACGCUGAGGCGCGAAGGCGUGGGGAGCAAACAGGAUUAGAUACCCUAGUAGUCC
Molecule: ribosomal RNA, 756 nt
Filed under: uncultured bacterium
Lineage: Bacteria
Description: bacterial SSU rRNA
Rfam family: Bacterial small subunit ribosomal RNA
Source: RNAcentral